This 534-nucleotide long non-coding RNA is filed under the name Trifolium pratense (red clover). RNAcentral describes it as "long non-coding RNA (TPRA_LNC009438)". The record is from RNAcentral. Lineage: Eukaryota; Viridiplantae; Streptophyta; Magnoliopsida; Fabales; Fabaceae.
UUACUAAUCCUUUAGUUAUUUAUGCAGGUUUGGAUUUGAGGACAAAUCCUCUUGAAGAGGGAGAGAAUGAUACGAUCAUGAGUUCCCUAAACAUGUGGAAGGAAACUUAUAAAAAAAUGCAUAAAAAUAUAUUUGGAUGAAGAUGCUUGAGCCAAACUUGAAGCCCAAUUCAUAUGAUAAGAAGCAUCUUUGGGCUGAAUUGUGGUCUAAUAAUAUUGGACUAAAUAAAAAAAUAAUUAAGUCCAAUUUUCUUUAUUUUUAUUGUAAUUUUCGUUUUUGGUAUUAGGAGAGUUUUUAGAUGACCUUUAGUUGCUCCCUAGGCUCUCUAGAUGCUUCCUAGUGGUGCACUAAGUCAUUAGAGUGGCUUGUGGGAAUUUAUAAGCAUGUUAGUGGAAAUUUUCUAAGUCCUAUGAUGAAUGUAUGGUAGUGGACACAAUAAAUCCUACUAUGUAAGGAUAUGCUAUAAAUAGGNNNNNNNNNNNNNNNNNNNNACCGGCAGGUCGCGGUUAGGGUCAAGUUCCUCUAUAUCUUGAU